Molecule: ribosomal RNA, 761 nt
Filed under: fungal endophyte
Lineage: Eukaryota; Fungi
Description: eukaryotic LSU rRNA
Rfam family: Eukaryotic large subunit ribosomal RNA (bases 211-761)
Source: RNAcentral
ACAUUGCGCCCCUCGGUAUCCCGGGGGGCAUGCCUGUUCGAGCGUCAUUUCUACCACUCAAGUUUAACUUGGUAUUGGGUGUUGUAGCCUCUUUUAAGGGGCUACAUACCUUAAAUUUAGCCGGCAACAAGCACCAGUUCCGAGCGUAGCAGUAAAACAUUUCGCUUUGGGAGCCUUGGAGUAUUGUUCACCGCAAGAAUCUUUAUAGUUUGACCUCGGAUCAGGCAGGGAUACCCGCUGAACUUAAGCAUAUCAAUAAGCGGAGGAAAAGAAACCAACAGGGAUUGCCUUAGUAACGGCGAGUGAAGCGGCAAUAGCUCAAAUUUGAAAUCUGGCGUCUUUGGGCGUCCGAGUUGUAAUUUGUAGAGGAUGUUUCGGUAUUGUCUCCAGUCUAAGUCCCUUGGAACAGGGCGUCGCAGAGGGUGAGAAUCCCGUACGCGACUGGAUGCCUUUGCCAUGUGAAACUCCUUCGACGAGUCGAGUUGUUUGGGAAUGCAGCUCUAAUUGGGAGGUAAAUUUCUUCUAAAGCUAAAUACUGGCCAGAGACCGAUAGCGCACAAGUAGAGUGAUCGAAAGAUGAAAAGCACUUUGGAAAGAGAGUUAAAAAGUACGUGAAAUUGUUGAAAGGGAAGCGCUUGCAAUCAGACCUGCUUGUAGUUGUUCAUCUAGACCUCAAGUCUAGUGCACUCUUCUGCAAGUCAGGCCAGUAUCGGUUCGGGCGGUUGGAUAAAGAUUUCAGGAAUGUAGCUCCUUUCGGGGAG